GGAAUAGCCUUUCGAAAGAAAGAUUAAUACCGGAUGGCAUACGAAUAUCGCAUGAUAUUUUUAUUAAAGAAUUUCGGUUAUCGAUGGGGAUGCGUUCCAUUAGUUUGUUGGCGGGGUAACGGCCCACCAAGACUACGAUGGAUAGGGGUUCUGAGAGGAAGGUCCCCCACAUUGGAACUGAGACACGGUCCAAACUCCUACGGGAGGCAGCAGUGAGGAAUAUUGGUCAAUGGGCGCGAGCCUGAACCAGCCAAGUAGCGUGAAGGAUGAAGGCUCUAUGGGUCGUAAACUUCUUUUAUAUGGGAAUAAAGUUUUCCACGUGUGGAAUUUUGUAUGUACCAUAUGAAUAAGGAUCGGCUAACUCCGUGCCAGCAGCCGCGGUAAUACGGAGGAUCCGAGCGUUAUCCGGAUUUAUUGGGUUUAAAGGGAGCGUAGGUGGAUUGUUAAGUCAGUUGUGAAAGUUUGCGGCUCAACCGUAAAAUUGCAGUUGAAACUGGCAGUCUUGAGUACAGUAGAGGUGGGCGGAAUUCGUGGUGUAGCGGUGAAAUGCUUAGAUAUCACGAAGAACUCCGAUUGCGAAGGCAGCUCACUAGACUGUUACUGACACUGAUGCUCGAAAGUGUGGGUAUCAAACAGGAUUAGAUACCCUGGUAGUCCACACAGUAAACGAUGAAUACUCGCUGUUUGCGAUAUACAGUAAGCGGCCAAG
RNAcentral lists this ribosomal RNA (709 nucleotides) under uncultured bacterium. RNAcentral describes it as "bacterial SSU rRNA". It matches the Rfam family "Bacterial small subunit ribosomal RNA", at positions 140 to 851 of the family's 1533-position model. The record is from RNAcentral.